UAGGAUUCCCUUAGUAGCUGCGAGCGAACAGGGAUAAGCCCAGCACCGAAUCCCGCGGCCGAUACCGGACGCCGGGAAAUGUGGUGUUAGGGAGGAUCCAUUUAUCCCGAGAUCGUGCGGCGCGUCCAAGUCCUUCUUGAACGGGGCCACAGCCCAUAGAGGGUGCCAGGCCCGUAGUGACCGUUGCCGAUUGCGGGAGGAUCUCUCCUCAGAGUCGGGUUGCUUGAGAGUGCAGCCCUAAGUGGGUGGUAAACUCCAUCUAAGGCUAAAUAUGACCACGAGACCGAUAGCGAACAAGUACCGUGAGGGAAAGUUGAAAAGCACUUUGAAGAGAGAGUUCAAGAGUACGUGAAACCGUUCAGGGGUAAACCUGAGAAAUCCGAAAGGUCGAAAGGGGAAAUUCAUUCGCGUCUCGACUACUGGAAAAAGAUGGUCUUGUGACGGAUGUUAUGCUUGCAUAAUGUUUGCACAUUCUGUUUUUUGAACUGGUAACGAAUGCGUGCACUUUUCCCCUAGUAGGACGUCGCGAUCCGUUGGGUGCCGGUCUAAGGCCCAUGGUGGAGCCCGUUUGUGGACAGUUUAUUCUGUCUCUUUCGGACCCAUGGUGUUUACCCGACCGGCUCGCUCGACGGUAUACAGAUGGCGCAGAGCCGCGACUCAGUUCGCGUUCGGCCCGUAGCAAGCGCGUUCGGUGUUUUGUUGGCGAUCGGACCUAGUGCCGGUCCUGGCCCCGAACGACUGUUGGCUGCGGUGUUCUCGAACAGACUCUGACAUUUAUGUAACGCCGAUCUGCGGCGCUAUAGCUUUGGAUACUUUCAGGACCCGUCUUGAAACACGGACCAAGGAGUCUAGCAUGUGCGCGAGUCAUUGGGACAUGACUAAACCUAAAGGCGUAAUGAAAGUAAAGGUUUGCCUUGCGCAUACCAAGGGAAGAUGAGUGGUUUACCCUUAAAGUGGCCACUCCGCAUUCCCGGGGCGUCUCAUUCUUAUUGCAAGAAGAGGCGCACCAAGAGCGUACACGCUGGGACCCGAAAGAUGGUGAACUAUGCCUGGUCAGGACGAAGUCAGGGGAAACCCUGAUGGAGGUCCGUAGCGAUUCUGACGUGCAAAUCGAUCGUCGGAACUGGGUAUAGGGGCGAAAGACUAAUCGAACCAUCUAGUAGCUGGUUCCCUCCGAAGUUUCCCUCAGGAUAGCUGGCGCUCGUUGCGUACGAGUCUCAUCCGGUAAAGCGAAUGAUUAGAGGCAUUGGGGUCGAAACGACCUCAACCUAUUCUCAAACUUUAAAUGGGUGAGAUCUCCGGCUUGCUCGAACUUUAUGAAGCCGUGAGACACGGAUCAGAGUGCCAAG
Molecule: ribosomal RNA, 1349 nt
Filed under: Agapytho foveicollis
Lineage: Eukaryota; Metazoa; Arthropoda; Insecta; Coleoptera; Agapythidae
Description: eukaryotic LSU rRNA
Rfam family: Eukaryotic large subunit ribosomal RNA
Source: RNAcentral